CAGUGUUACAGCUUUUUAAGAAUUUGUCCAGCAGACUUUCUUGUUUUUACUGGAAGCCUCCCU
RNAcentral lists this small nuclear RNA (63 nucleotides) under Chlorocebus sabaeus (green monkey). RNAcentral's name for it is "U7 small nuclear RNA (ENSCSAG00000025837.1)". It matches the Rfam family "U7 small nuclear RNA". From Rfam's summary of the family: Animal histone pre-mRNAs are spliced by a different mechanism than nuclear pre-mRNAs and self-splicing introns. This processing involves the U7 snRNP, which contains only one RNA species: U7. The record is from Rfam by way of RNAcentral. Lineage: Eukaryota; Metazoa; Chordata; Mammalia; Primates; Cercopithecidae.